AGAGUUUGAUCCUGGCUCAGGAUGAACGCUGGCGGCGUGCCUAACACAUGCAAGUCGAGCGAAGCACUUUGCUUAGAUUCUUCGGAUGAAGAGGAUUGUGACUGAGCGGCGGACGGGUGAGUAACGCGUGGGUAACCUGCCUCGUACAGGGGGAUAACAGUUAGAAAUGACUGCUAAUACCGCAUAAGACCACAGCACCGCAUGGUGCAGGGGUAAAAACUCCGGUGGUAUGAGAUGGACCCGCGUCUGAUUAGCUAGUUGGUAAGGUAACGGCUUACCAAGGCGACGAUCAGUAGCCGACCUGAGAGGGUGACCGGCCACAUUGGGACUGAGACACGGCCCAAACUCCUACGGGAGGCAGCAGUGGGGAAUAUUGCACAAUGGGGGAAACCCUGAUGCAGCGACGCCGCGUGAGCGAAGAAGUAUUUCGGUAUGUAAAGCUCUAUCAGCAGGGAAGAAAAUGACGGUACCUGACUAAGAAGCACCGGCUAAAUACGUGCCAGCAGCCGCGGUAAUACGUAUGGUGCAAGCGUUAUCCGGAUUUACUGGGUGUAAAGGGAGCGUAGACGGAUGGGCAAGUCUGAUGUGAAAACCCGGGGCUCAACCCCGGGACUGCAUUGGAAACUGUUCAUCUAGAGUGCUGGAGAGGUAAGUGGAAUUCCUAGUGUAGCGGUGAAAUGCGUAGAUAUUAGGAGGAACACCAGUGGCGAAGGCGGCUUACUGGACAGUAACUGACGUUGAGGCUCGAAAGCGUGGGGAGCAAACAGGAUUAGAUACCCUGGUAGUCCACGCCGUAAACGAUGACUACUAGGUGUCGGGUGGCAAAGCCAUUCGGUGCCGCAGCAAACGCAAUAAGUAGUCCACCUGGGGAGUACGUUCGCAAGAAUGAAACUCAAAGGAAUUGACGGGGACCCGCACAAGCGGUGGAGCAUGUGGUUUAAUUCGAAGCAACGCGAAGAACCUUACCAAAUCUUGACAUCCCUCUGACCGGUCUUUAAUCGGACCUUCUCUUCGGAGCAGAGGUGACAGGUGGUGCAUGGUUGUCGUCAGCUCGUGUCGUGAGAUGUUGGGUUAAGUCCCGCAACGAGCGCAACCCUUAUGGUCAGUUACUACGCAAGAGGACUCUGGCCAGACUGCCGUUGACAAAACGGAGGAAGGUGGGGAUGACGUCAAAUCAGCACGGCCCUUACGUCCGGGGCUACACACGUGUUACAAUGGCAGGUACAGAGAGACGGUCCCUUGCAAAAUGGAUCAAAUCCUUAAAGCCUGUCUCAGUUCGGACUGGGGUCUGCAACCCGACCCCACGAAGCUGGAUUCGCUAGUAAUCGCGCAUCAGCCAUGGCGCGGUGAAUACGUUCCCGGGCCUUGCACACACCGCCCGUCA
Molecule: ribosomal RNA, 1384 nt
Filed under: uncultured bacterium
Lineage: Bacteria
Description: bacterial SSU rRNA
Rfam family: Bacterial small subunit ribosomal RNA
Source: RNAcentral